Molecule: unclassified non-coding RNA, 536 nt
Filed under: Homo sapiens (human)
Lineage: Eukaryota; Metazoa; Chordata; Mammalia; Primates; Hominidae
Description: transmembrane channel like 4 (ENSG00000273722.4)
Source: RNAcentral
AGUGUCUGCCUGGUGGCCACUAGAGACAGCCCAGCCUGGGCCAUGGAAGAAAACCCGACCUUGGAAUCAGAAGCCUGGGGCUCCUCUAGGGGGUGGCUGGCCCCCCGGGAGGCCAGAGGAGGCCCAUCGCUGUCUUCUGUGCUGAACGAGCUGCCCAGUGCUGCCACCCUUCGGUACCGAGACCCUGGGGUGCUGCCUUGGGGGGCGCUGGAGGAGGAGGAGGAGGAUGGAGGAAGGAGCAGAAAGGCCUUCACAGAAGUCACCCAGACAGAGCUGCAGGACCCUCACCCUUCCCGGGAACUGCCCUGGCCCAUGCAGGCCAGACGGGCACACAGGCAAAGAAAUGCCAGCAGGGACCAGGUGGUCUAUGGCUCUGGAACUAAGACGGACCGAUGGGCGCGGCUACUUCGGAGGUCCAAGGAGAAAACAAAGGAAGGCUUGCGAAGCCUGCAGCCCUGGGCGUGGACACUGAAGAGGAUCGGGGGACCGUGUUUCUUCGCCUCGCCUCCCUGGUGGUCCUGCUCUUCUCUCUCUGG